Molecule: transfer-messenger RNA, 359 nt
Filed under: Salmonella enterica subsp. enterica serovar Senftenberg str. CFSAN004032
Lineage: Bacteria; Pseudomonadati; Pseudomonadota; Gammaproteobacteria; Enterobacterales; Enterobacteriaceae
Description: partial transfer-messenger RNA
Rfam family: transfer-messenger RNA
About the family: Bacterial tmRNA, also known as 10Sa RNA or SsrA, is named for its dual tRNA and mRNA-like properties. Its role is to liberate the mRNA from a stalled ribosome.
Source: RNAcentral
GGGGCUGAUUCUGGAUUCGACGGGAUUUGCGAAACCCAAGGUGCAUGCCGAGGGGCGGUUGGCCUCGUAAAAAGCCGCAAAAAAAUAGUCGCAAACGACGAAACCUACGCUUUAGCAGCUUAAUAACCUGCUUAGAGCCCUCUCUCCCUAGCCUCCGCUCUUAGGACGGGGAUCAAGAGAGGUCAAACCCAAAAGAGAUCGCGCGGAUGCCCUGCCUGGGGUUGAAGCGUUAAAACGAAUCAGGCUAGUCUGGUAGUGGCGUGUCCGUCCGCAGGUGCCAGGCGAAUGUAAAGACUGACUAAGCAUGUAGUACCGAGGAUGUAGGAAUUUCGGACGCGGGUUCAACUCCCGCCAGCUCC